This 560-nucleotide long non-coding RNA is filed under the name Dermacentor andersoni. RNAcentral's name for it is "uncharacterized LOC126543138". The record is from RNAcentral. Lineage: Eukaryota; Metazoa; Arthropoda; Arachnida; Ixodida; Ixodidae.
CAUACAGAACUUGCGGCAAGAGAACAAUUGUAUUAUGUUGGCAUCGUCAGCACAGGAUAGCGGUUUCUUUCUUUGUGUUGAUGUUGAGUACGCAGCCAAAUGGGAACGGGGACAGCCACGUGCUAUGUGGGCCGAAAAAAGAGUGCAGCCGUCAUGAAUAUCUGCGUAGCGUUGUCUUUUUUAAUAUUUGUGGAACUAUGUGACUCAUCGAGGCCUAAAGCGUAUGAUGACCGGUGCAAAAUUAUUCUUUACGCAUCAUCAAGCGAAUGUCCUCGUCAGCGAUGGUUCUAUGAUUGGAAAAAUAAAUUCUGCCUUCCCAGUUGCAGCGCAACAGCACCCUUUUCAAGCAAAAUAGAAUGCCAGGGAAUAUGCCGAAGUGGCGAUGUUUGCGAUUUCCCGGUGGCAAGUGCCCUCUGCUUCAACCAUGUGUUUCCAGUCUACGUGUACAGUCCCAAAGAGGAAAGAUGUUUCCUGACUUACGAUUGCACAUACUUCCUAAAUAAGUUUCCUACUUUAGGAGAAUGCCUACGUACUUGCGGGCAGCGUAAGUAAGCAUGUUA